AGAGUUUGAUCAUGGCUCAGAUUGAACGCUGGCGGCAGGCUUAACACAUGCAAGUCGAGCGGAAACGAGAAGUGCUUGCACUUCGGCGUCGAGCGGCGGACGGGUGAGUAAUGCUUGGGAAUAUGCCUUAUGGUGGGGGACAACAGUUGGAAACGACUGCUAAUACCGCAUAACGUCUACGGACCAAAGGGGGGGAUCUUCGGACCUCUCGCCAUUUGAUUAGCCCAAGUGAGAUUAGCUAGUUGGUAAGGUAAUGGCUUACCAAGGCGACGAUCUCUAGCUGGUUUGAGAGGAUGAUCAGCCACACUGGGACUGAGACACGGCCCAGACUCCUACGGGAGGCAGCAGUGGGGAAUAUUGCACAAUGGGGGGAACCCUGAUGCAGCCAUGCCGCGUGUGUGAAGAAGGCCUUCGGGUUGUAAAGCACUUUCAGUUGUGAGGAA
This 443-nucleotide ribosomal RNA is filed under the name uncultured Gammaproteobacteria bacterium. RNAcentral's name for it is "bacterial SSU rRNA". It matches the Rfam family "Bacterial small subunit ribosomal RNA", at positions 8 to 449 of the family's 1533-position model. Lineage: Bacteria; Pseudomonadati; Pseudomonadota; Gammaproteobacteria. The record is from RNAcentral.